UUUUCUUCAGCUCCUCACAACUCGCCCCAGAAGAGACGACUGUUUAGGACGGUCUGCAGGGCAGUCGGAGACACCUCCAGAGACCCUGAAUGAGAUGGAGACUCGGUCAUGCCCUCCCUGGACAAGGCUCCGUGGAGAAAUGUCCCAUGUCACAAGGACUCAGGAAAGGCAAAUUCAUUCACUGUUGCUGCCCUGACUGCGAGGAAGCCCUUCCUAGUGUCUAGCCCGGGUCUCGCUUGCUUUACCUAUGCACCAUGGACACUGAAAACAGAUUAUCCCUGUCUCUUUACAGCUGCAUUUUAUAUAUUUAAAGACUAUUAUCAUGUCUUCUCCCCCGCAAUUCUAUCCCAUCCAGACUAAACAACCCCAGUUCGUUCACUUGAGCGUUUAACAACAAGUUUGUUUGGCGAAAUUCAAUUUGUUUAGAGCAGUGGUCCUAAUAAUCCACUCCAUGCCAAAAAUAACAAACAUUUAGUAUUUCUCUUCAAAUCUCUAGCUUUAUCAACUGUUUUGACAGUUUGAUUGUAAUUUUUAACCCAAACGGUUAUAAUUAAAGCAAUUACUUUCUGGUUUUUCUAUAUAAAUG
Molecule: long non-coding RNA, 586 nt
Organism: Struthio camelus australis
Lineage: Eukaryota; Metazoa; Chordata; Aves; Struthioniformes; Struthionidae
Source: RefSeq, a predicted model, not a curated record